CUACGGGGUGCACCAGGCGCGAAACCUUUACACUACCGGAAACGGUGAUAAGGGGAUUCUACGUGCUCAGGGUUUUUUGCCUUGGGCUUUUGCCGAGAGUAAAUAUCUCGGCGAAUAAGUGGUGGGUAAGACUGGUGCCAGCCGCCGCGGUAACACCAGCGCCACAAGUGGGAAUCGCGAUUAUUGGGCCUAAAGCGUUCGUAGCUGGUCUGGUAAAUCUCUUGUGAAAUCGUGAGGCUUAACCUUACGGCGCGCAGGAGAGACUGCCAGACUUGAGACCGGGAGGAGUCGGAGGUAUGCAUGGGGGAGCAGUAAAAUGCUAUAAUCCCUUGUAGACCACCGGUGGCGAAGGCGUCCGACCAGAACGGCUCUGACAGUGAGGGACGAAAGCCAGGGGAGCGAUCCGGAUUAGAUACCCCAGUAGUC
RNAcentral lists this ribosomal RNA (426 nucleotides) under uncultured archaeon. Its description in RNAcentral is "partial 16S ribosomal RNA". It matches the Rfam family "Archaeal small subunit ribosomal RNA", at positions 323 to 746 of the family's 1478-position model. The record is from RNAcentral.